AUUGCAUAAAGUUUAAGAUGUGUGUCUACUUUUCCUUCCGUGGAUGAGAGUAGGAAAUCACACCAUGGGUUCUUAGUGUGUAAUUCUCAGCUGGUUUAGUCCAUGUGCAGAAUUCUUAACAUGUCGGUGGUAAGAAUUUUUAACACUCCAACUGUACAUUUGCCUUUGGGGUACACUGUGGGCAUGAGGAAAUGGAAAAUUCUAGCAUUCGCUGAUUGCUUUCUAUGUGCAGAGCCUCUGCAGCCCACUUUCAUAAUUUUCUCAUUUAAUUUUCACAGAAAUCAAUUAGAUAGACAUCUUCAUUGUUACAUACUCAGUAAGGAAAUAUUUCAAUGACUAUUCACAGAGCCUUUGCUUUUCCCUGGGACUGUUCUAGGUACUGGAGAACAGUGUGGCUCAAAACACACACACUUUGGCCCUAUUUGGUUUACAUUCUAGGGAGGGGGAGAGAUAAUAAAUAAAGGGACAAACAAAUGCACAAUAUGACAUCAUCCAACAGUAAGUACAUGAGGAACUUGCAGCAGGAUGGGGGGAUGGAGUCAUCUGGAGGGGACAGCAUGUGAGUGGGGGCCUAUUUUGCAUAAAGCAGUCAGAAGAUGCCUCCUUGAGCAGACUUGCAAAAGUGACAGGAAGAGCCGGUCUUAGAACAAUCACUUCUUUCAGAAGAGGACACUGCCAACCAGGAAAGCAGACGGCAGUCAGAACUUGCCUUUACGGCAGAAAAUGAAGUGACAUCUAUGAUCUAUGGCUGGAGCCGAAUCAGGAGGAUUUGGAAGAAGGCUGGACUUUCUGGGCGAAUAAGAAAAGCACAUCCCCCCACUGGCUCCCAUUGCUGAGACACACACUAGCAGCCACAGGCUCCACUAACAAGCCGACAAGGGAUGCCGUCCUCCGCACCGCAGACUCACCUGCUCCAUAGAACCAAAGGGUACUCUGGAAGGCUUAUAGAGAAAUGAGAGAUUGAGAGAAAACUCAUGAGAGUAUCAAGAAGAUGGAACCAUUUAUGAAACAGCAAAGCUCAUAUAUAAUUGAGCAAGGACAAUGGAAAGUAGUUUGAAUUGCAAUAUAAUUCUGUAAGAAUACAAUGUACAUUGCCAGUAGCUGAGUGUUGCAAGCCAAAUUCAAAGCAAACAAAUAAAGAAGUAAAUAAAAAUUUAAAGCCAUUAAGUGGAAAAAUAUUAUCAUGAAUGACUGAUAUGAUUACAUUUGAAUUUUUAAAAUGAUGUCAUUAGAAGGAUGCAGGAUAAAGCCAAGAAGAAAGGAGUUACGAGUCUACUACAGUAGUUUGGGUUCUGUCGGUAUUUGCUCUUUAGUCAAAACUGGUCCUUUAUUUACUAUACAUUCCCUCUUCCCUGCUAUCUUCUGUUCUCUUUUUU
Molecule: long non-coding RNA, 1376 nt
Organism: Orcinus orca (killer whale)
Lineage: Eukaryota; Metazoa; Chordata; Mammalia; Artiodactyla; Delphinidae
Exons: 4
Source: RefSeq, a predicted model, not a curated record